Molecule: ribosomal RNA, 468 nt
Filed under: uncultured bacterium
Lineage: Bacteria
Description: partial 16S ribosomal RNA
Rfam family: Bacterial small subunit ribosomal RNA
Source: RNAcentral
GACGAACGCUGGCGGCGUGCUUAACACAUGCAAGUCGAACGGAAAGGCCCUGCUUUUGUGGGGUGCUCGAGUGGCGAACGGGUGAGUAACACGUGAGUAACCUGCCCUUGACUUUGGGAUAACUUCAGGAAACUGGGGCUAAUACCGGAUAGGAGCUCCUGCUGCAUGGUGGGGGUUGGAAAGUUUCGGCGGUUGGGGAUGGACUCGCGGCUUAUCAGCUUGUUGGUGGGGUAGUGGCUUACCAAGGCUUUGACGGGUAGCCGGCCUGAGAGGGUGACCGGCCACAUUGGGACUGGGAUACAGCCCAGACUCCUACGGGAGGCAGCAGUGGGGAAUAUUGCACAAUGGGCGGAAGCCUGAUGCAGCAACGCCGCGUGCGGGAUGACGGCCUUCGGGUUGUAAACCGCUUUCGCCUGUGACGAAGCGUGAGUGACGGUAAUGGGUAAAGAAGCACCGGCUAACUACGUG